UACGUAGGGUGCAAGCGUUAAUCGGAAUUACUGGGCGUAAAGCGUGCGCAGGCGGUGCUGUAAGACAGAUGUGAAAUCCCCGGGCUCAACCUGGGAACUGCAUUUGUGACUGCAUUGCUGGAGUACGGCAGAGGGGGAUGGAAUUCCGCGUGUAGCAGUGAAAUGCGUAGAUAUGCGGAGGAACACCGAUGGCGAAGGCAAUCCCCUGGGCCUGUACUGACGCUCAUGCACGAAAGCGUGGGGAGCAAACAGG
Molecule: ribosomal RNA, 253 nt
Filed under: uncultured bacterium
Lineage: Bacteria
Description: partial 16S ribosomal RNA
Rfam family: Bacterial small subunit ribosomal RNA
Source: RNAcentral